Molecule: long non-coding RNA, 4507 nt
Filed under: Ananas comosus (pineapple)
Lineage: Eukaryota; Viridiplantae; Streptophyta; Magnoliopsida; Poales; Bromeliaceae
Description: long non-coding RNA (ACOM_LNC023057)
Source: RNAcentral
AUGUUAAGAAUAUGCCUUCUUUUGAACUUGGGUUGAAUCAAAUUAGUUAACCCAUUAAGUUGGUUUAUAAAAGAUGGUAUAGGCUAGGACCAUGGAUUACAUCAAAUUGAUUUUCAGUUUAUUGGUGUAAGAUUUGUGUUUAUCUACACAUGUCCUCUCCUAGUCUAAUUAGGAUUGUUGACUUGUUGACCGCACCUAUAUAUAUACAUGCAUGGCUAUGCAACCGGGGAAGAGGCGUCAUGUGUGAGAAAAUUAAUUAGCAUCGGGCUAAUUAAUUCACAAGCUUCCGAGGCGUACGGCAGCAAGGAACCUAAUUAAUUAAGGUGGCUCCGUCCGUAUGGUUAGAGAAGAAGCACCGCGUCUUUGCAUGCGACGUCGGAUUGGAGUCGGCAGCAGGAGCGGCGGUUCUUAACCAAUUGCCUGAGCAGUUCGGAUUCUUCGAAGCAACGGCAUAAAGGAAUUUGGUUAGAGUUUCUAUACUUCUCUAAUUUGGUUCUCAGUUUUACGAAAAGCUUUUUCAGUAUUUUCUUGGAGUUUUCGUUGGAACAAGAAAGGUGGGAUUCACCAUAAGGUUCUUGGUUUUUUUUAUCCGGAGAAGACAUAAGGUGUAAGCUUAUACUUCUAUUUCUUCAUAUAGUGGAAUACAUCUCUCUCGCUCUCCCCGUGGACGUAAGUAAUUGCCGAAACACGUAAAUCUUAGUUUCUUCUUUCUGCAUUUAUUUCUUUUACCGUUCGGUCGAUUUUCUCUAUUUUUCGUGCAUCCUUGUUGGUAGCACAUGACGGACGAUCCAUCCGGUUCCCAACAAGUGGUAUCAGAGCGUAAGGUUCGUGCUACAUCAGAGAUGUCGAAAGUCUCGUCUUCUAAGUUUGAGGUGGAGAAAUUUGACGGUAAAGAAAACUUCGAUCUCUGGCAGAGAAGAGUGAAAGCCCUUCUGGUUCAACAGGGCCUUCAUAAGGCAUUGCUCGGAAAAUCGAAAAAGCCGACAUCGAUGAGCGACGAAGAUUGGGAGGAUAUUAAUCUGCAAGCGGUGAAUACAAUUAUAUUGUGUCUAGCAGAUGAAGUGAUGUAUAACGUAAUGGAUGAAGAAACUACAGUCGGCAUGUGGGACAAGCUAGAGAAGCUGUACAUGACCAAAAGCCUCUCGAACGUGCUGUACCUAAAGCAAAAAUUAUAUGGACUACGCAUGAAGGAAGGUACGGCAAUAACGGAACACUUGAACACCUUUAAUAAAUUAUUGCGGAUUUGCUAAGCAUUAAUGUCAAGGUUGACGAGGACGAUAAGGCGUUGAUUUUUCUUACAUCACUUCCGUCGUCCUACAAUCACUUGGUGAUCACCAUACUGUACGGGAAGCAAACUCUAAAGAUGGAAGAUGUUACAUCGACACUUUUAUCUGAAGAGAUCAGGUUGCAGGCGAGUACCGAAGAAAGCAGUGCAGGUUUGGUCGUAAAUGAUACAAGUGGAGGAAGGGGACGAUCAAGCGAACGUGAUGCAGGUAAAGGAAGAUCCCGUUCCAAGUCAAAAUCGAAAAAGGUGAAGUGUUACUUCUGUAGAAAAAAGGGCCACAUGAAAAAGAACUGCGAAAAGAGGAAGGCUUGGCUGCGAAAUCAGAAUUCCUCUGCAGAUACGGCGAGCGUAGCGAGUGAUUCCGGUCAGGACGUCUUGACGGUUACAACAGAUUUUGACUCUCACGGUGACUGGAUAUUAGAUUCUGGUUGUUCUUAUCACAUGUCUCCANNNNNNNNNNNNNNNNNNNNNNNNNGAUUUGCCAAAGGAGUUCUGGGCUGAAGCAGUAGAUAUGGCGUGCUAUAUUAUUAAUCGAUCUCCCGCCACAGCAAUCGAACUCAAAACACCGGAGGAAGUAUGGACAGGUAAACUUGCAGAUUAUUCCUCCUUACGGGUCUUUGGUUGUCCUGCUUAUGUCCAUAUCCAGAAAAAUCAGCGCACAAAAUUAGAUUCGAAGUCAAAGCCCUGCAUAUUUCUUGGGUACGAUAUGGGUGUUAAAGGAUACAAGCUGUGGGACCCUAUCGCCAAGAAGAAGGUGAUUAGCAGGGACGUAGUUUUUGACGAAAAAGUUAUGCCGCGUAAAGAUCAUCAGGAGGCUCAACGUGAAGAACAGUAAAAAACUACGCAGAUCCAGGUAGAGCGGCAAGAGGGUGUAGAUGAUCAGGUGGAGCAGCCCCACUAUCAGGAUGAUCAUGGUACACAAAGCGAUCCGAUUGAAAGCACUUCGGAGGAGCCCUACUCUAUCGCUAAAGGAAGGGAAAGGAGAUAGAUUCGUCCACCUUUACGGUACAGGUUGGAGGAUAUAGUAUCUUAUGCCUUAUUAAUUACAUCAGAUGAUCCCACUUCCUAUCAGGAGGCGAUGCAGGACAGAGAUAGUGGCAGAUGGAUAGCGGCUAAGAAUCAGAAUGAAGUGCAACAAUUAAAGGAUUAGUUGAGCCGAGAAUUCGACAUGAAGGACCUAGGAGGUGCUAGAAAAAUCCUAGGUAUGGAGAUCAGACGCGACCGCAUACAGGGUAAGUUGUGGUUGUCGCAGAAGACAUAUAUAUGAGCUAUUAUAAAGCAAUUUAAUAUGUCAGAGGCGAAGGCGGUCAAGACUCCAUUAGCCCAACACUUCAAACUUUCUGAGGAGAUGUGUCCCAAGACGGAUGAGGAGAUUACUUCUACGUCAAAGAUACCAUAUGCUAGUGCAAUCAGUUGCCUGAUGUAUGCUAUGAUCUGCACUAGGCCUGAUCUUUCACAUGCAGUUAGUAUUGUCAGUCGGUAUAUGUCGAAUCCAGGGAAACAGCACUGGGAGGCCGUGAAGUGGAUUUUGCGGUAUCUGAAGGGCACAUCAGAUAAAAGUAUUCUCUACUCGAAAGAUUCUGGUAAUGAUGAAGUGAAGGGGUUUGUAGAUUCCGACUAUGCGGGUGAUUUGGACAAGCGUUGGUCUAUUACAGAUUACGUCUUUCUGCUGUGCGGCGGACCUAUCAUUUGGAAAUCUACGUUGCAGCGCACUGUAGCCUUGUCAACUACAGAAGCGGAGUAUAUGGCGGAAAUUGAAGCAGCUAAGGAAGCAGUCUGGCUUAGAGGCUUGGUUGGUGAACUCGGGAUUGUGCAAGAAAAAAUGAUUAUCGGUUGUGAUAGUCAGAGUGCUAUAUGUCUCGCCAGGAAUCCAGUUUACCAUGGGAGGACAAAGCACAUAGAAAUCAAGUAUCACAANUAUAUAUAUAGUAGGAUGAAAAGAUUUGAUAAAAAAAUUCGAAAUUUAGUUUCUAUAUAUUUCAAGUGGUACAUAUUAUGUUCAAAGAUAUCGAUCGUUAAUUUGGAGGUUCUAUCAUCGAAAAUAAAUGAAUGACAGUAAAGCCUGUUUACUAGAUAGCAUUCGAGCUCAACUCUCUCUCUUUCUUUCUCUAUCUAUAUAUAUAUAUAAUAUUUUGAUCAAUUGACUAAUUAAUAUUAUCAUUUUAAAUUGAUAGAAUAUGAUUUUAGGUGGUGAAUUAGAAGUUGUGCAGUUAACAUAAAAAACUUGUCUGUAUCCAAUGGGUGAAAGCUCCAAUGGUACUGAUACGCAUAAUCCUUUCAAAAAAAAACAACUAAAAAACUUAUUUGAUUUGUAAAAAAUUAGCUGUGCCCGCAAUUAUUUAUCCAUCAUUCAUGUCAAUUAGCGUCGAGAUCAACCUUUCCAUUAUUAUUAAUUAUUCAAGUUACCAUUCGAGUUAAUACAACGGCUUCUUUCUUUCUUUAUUUCUUUUCUUUUUCUUUUCUUUUUUUUUUUACAAUUGGUGAUUAUGUGGUCCAUAUAUAAAAAGUGGAUAUUUAUAGAUAGCAAGAUUUGAUAGCGAAAACAUAUCUGUUCAUAGUACUGUUAAUUACUCUAUUUAAAUAUUAUCUUUUUAUCCUUCAAAAAAUAUUAGGGUUAAUUUUAUACAACUCUCUGUAAAUAUAUCGUAUCGCAAAUGUAUCCCUACAAAGUUUAACUUUUUAUAUUUAUUCCUAUAAAAAUUCAAUGAUAUUCAUAUUUAUCCCUCUGAUUUAUUACCAUUAUAGUACUAUUUAUUUUCUAACAGAAAAUAAAUAAAAUUAUAUUUCUAUUAUUACAAAUAUGUCUCUCCAAAAGCCCAAUUAUUAAAAUUAUGAAGAAAUGUCCUCCAAAAAAUUUCCAAAGAUUUUCUUCUUCCUUUCUACCAUUACAAAUAAUAUAAAAGUGAUAAAAAGAUCAAUUUAGCUCAUUUACUAAUCAUGGGUAAGUAUUUUACGUUCCAAUCGUUAACUGUUUUUUUCUAACGGAUCUUAAUAAUGUUAAGAAUAUGCCUUCUUUUGAACUUGGGUUGAAUCAAAUUAGUUAACCCAUUAAGUUGGUUUAUAAAAGAUGGUAUAGGCUAGGACCAUGGAUUACAUCAAAUUGAUUUUCAGUUUAUUGGUGUAAGAUUUGUGUUUAUCUACACAUGUCCUCUCCUAGUCUAAUUAGGAUUGUUGACUUGUUGACCGCACCUAUAUAUAUACAUGCAUGCCUAUGCAACCGGU